Long non-coding RNA from Triticum aestivum (bread wheat), 989 nucleotides. RefSeq lists it as uncharacterized. The record is from RefSeq and is a predicted model, not a curated record. Lineage: Eukaryota; Viridiplantae; Streptophyta; Magnoliopsida; Poales; Poaceae. The transcript is spliced from 3 exons.
UACGAUCACAAUCAGAGCCGUCAACCGUGGUCGUCGCAUGUCGUCCUCUUCAGCGCCGCCAGCGCCAGGGGCCGGCCGCAUCUUGACGCUAUGGGUAAAGAUGCAGGCGAUGGUCCAGCUGACGGAGAUCGUUUGAGAAAGAUAUCAGGGGAAAGAUCUACAUCUGCAAGAACAAGUGCAAAUGCUGUCCAAAGUAUGUUAGUAUCACCCCUGUUGCAAGUCAAAAUGAAGAGCCACUGAAUUUGGGCAGUGACAAUAAAGUUGCAAAUGAAGUGAUUGAUCUAGAGGGUGAGAAUCUGGAUGCAAUAGUAGAUGAACCUGCAGGGAAGAAACAGAAGAAGACCAAAUCUCAAUGUUGGGACCAUUUUGAUAGAACAUUCAAGGCGGUGGUGAUAAAUGGACAAAAAAUUAAGGAAGCAUGGGCCAAAUGCAAGUACUGCACAUAUAAAGCAAAGAGAAAUAGCAAGAAUGGGACAUCAGUCUUCUUGAACCAUAUUAAUAUGCAUAGAGAAAUAGCAAGAUGUUGCAAGUGGACUGGAAGAAACACCAUGUUGAAGAGAAGUCAAGGAUGUGUUACGGGCUUCUACUUGAUAGAUUACUUGCCUUUUAUAAUAAAUAAAAACUUCAAUAGAAUUUUGAAUUAAGUAUUUCUUAAGUAAGACAUUUGUCUUGGACGUGUGUAAUGCUAUCAUCAUAUUACCAUAACUGUUUAUUGUUGUCAUAUUCGUGUGGUAUGAGUGUUAUGACUUUAAAAGCUUGGCCACUCUCUAGUGUAAUGUGGUGAGUUAAAAAUGUGUUUUUAUAUAGUUUGCAUAUAGUAGAUACAAGUUCAUGUGUCUUUGCAUGUAUCCCCCGAUAUUUUUUGCCCGUUUCCGGUCCGAGUCCGCUCCGAAUCCGUAGUCCGAUAUAAUCCGCAUUCGAAUCCGCAUCCGGUCAAUAUCCGCUCCGCUCCGAAUCCGACAAAAAAAUAUGGUAGAGGAUACGGUAAA